UACGUAGGGUGCGAGCGUUAAUCGGAAUCACUGGGCGUAAAGCGCGUGUAGGCGGUUCCGUAAGUCCGCUCUGAAAGCCCAGGGCUCAACCCUGGGAGGCGGGUGGAUACUACGGAACUGGAGUACGGAAGAGGAGAUUGGAAUUCCUGGUGUAGCGGUGAAAUGCGCAGAUAUCAGGAGGAACACCAACAGCGAAGGCAGAUCUCUGGGACGUUACUGACGCUGAGACGCGAAAGCGUGGGGAGCAAACAGG
This 253-nucleotide ribosomal RNA is filed under the name uncultured bacterium. Its description in RNAcentral is "partial 16S ribosomal RNA". It matches the Rfam family "Bacterial small subunit ribosomal RNA", at positions 524 to 776 of the family's 1533-position model. The record is from RNAcentral.